CAUAUAAUAAGGUAAUUUAGCAUAAGAUGGCUCCCAUUCUCCAUAAAUAUCAACCAAUGCCUUCUGCUUUCCACACCAUGCUUUCCUGUAUGAUACUGUAUAUUGAAAUUGAUCAUUAACGGCUGCCAUAAUAGCUUCAACUUUAACACCGGGAUCUUUCUCAACAAUAUGUCGGACUAAUGUGCUAAUCAUCUUUCCACUGAUAUAUUUGUGGUCUCGACUCAAUCCCGUAAACAAACAAGUGUGAGGACCCUCAUAUUUUGUGAUUUGAAAAUAUCCAUAUUUUUUCAACAAUGCAGCACGAAGCCUCUAUUUACAAUGCUGAACAUUAUCUGAUGAUGCGCAUCGUACGGACCAUAAUUUCGAAUGCGACUGAACUACAUUGUAUGUCCGAUGCUUCAUAAUGUGAUAAAGAU
Molecule: long non-coding RNA, 416 nt
Filed under: Elaeis guineensis (African oil palm)
Lineage: Eukaryota; Viridiplantae; Streptophyta; Magnoliopsida; Arecales; Arecaceae
Description: long non-coding RNA (EGUI_LNC081936)
Source: RNAcentral